GGGGAUAACUUGGGGAAACCCAAGCUAAUACCGCAUACGACCUACGGGUGAAAGGGGGCUUUUAGCUCUCGCUAUUAGAUGAGCCUAAGUCGGAUUAGCUGGUUGGUGGGGUAAAGGCCUACCAAGGCGACGAUCUGUAGCUGGUCUGAGGGGAUGAUCAGCCACACUGGGACUGAGACACGGCCCAG
RNAcentral lists this ribosomal RNA (188 nucleotides) under uncultured Pseudomonadales bacterium. Its description in RNAcentral is "partial 16S ribosomal RNA". It matches the Rfam family "Bacterial small subunit ribosomal RNA", at positions 139 to 334 of the family's 1533-position model. The record is from RNAcentral. Lineage: Bacteria; Pseudomonadati; Pseudomonadota; Gammaproteobacteria; Pseudomonadales.